UAACGAAUCUUCCGCAAUGCACGCAAGUGUGACGGAGCGACGCCGCGUGGAGGACGAAGUUCUUCGGAAUGUAAACUCCUGUCAGGGGCAGCCAAGUUCUGAGGCGCCCCAGAGGAAGGCACGGCUAACUCUGUGCCAGCAGCCGCGGUAAGACAGAGGUGCCGAGCGUUAGGCGGAAUCACUGGGCUUAAAGCGUGUGUAGGCGGGCGUGCAAGUACCUUGUGAAAUCCCACGGCUCAACCGUGGAACGGCUGGGUAUACUGCUUGCCUUGAGCCAACUAGGGGCGAGCGGAACAAGUGGUGGAGCGGUGAAAUGCGUAGAUAUCACUUGGAACGCCAAAGGUGAAAACAGCUCGCUGGGGUUGUGCUGACGCUGAGACACGAAAGCCAGGGGAGCGAACGGGAUUAGAUACCCCUGUAGUCC
Molecule: ribosomal RNA, 424 nt
Filed under: uncultured bacterium
Lineage: Bacteria
Description: bacterial SSU rRNA
Rfam family: Bacterial small subunit ribosomal RNA
Source: RNAcentral